CGCCCUUAGAGUUUGAUCCUGGCUCAGGACGAACGCUGGCGGCGUGCUUAACACAUGCAAGUCGAACGGGGUGUUUAUUUCGGUAAACAUCAAGUGGCGAACGGGUGAGUAACGCGUAAGCAAUCUACCUUCAAGAUGGGGACAACACUUCGAAAGGGGUGCUAAUACCGAAUGAAUGUAAGAGUAUCGCAUGAGACACUUACUAAAGGAGGCCUCUGAAAAUGCUUCCGCUUGAAGAUGAGCUUGCGUCUGAUUAGCUAGUUGGUGAGGGUAAAGGCCCACCAAGGCGACGAUCAGUAGCCGGUCUGAGAGGAUGAACGGCCACAUUGGGACUGAGACACGGCCCAGACUCCUACGGGAGGCAGCAGUGGGGAAUCUUCCGCAAUGGGCGAAAGCCUGACGGAGCAACGCCGCGUGAACGAUGAAGGUCUUAGGAUCGUAAAGUUCUGUUGUUAGGGACGAAGGGCAAGGGUUAUAAUACAGCCUUUGUUUGACGGUACCUAACGAGGAAGCCACGGCUAACUACGUGCCAGCAGCCGCGGUAAUACGUAGGCGGCAAGCGUUGUCCGGAAUUAUUGGGCGUAAAGGGAGCGCAGGCGGGAAACUAAGCGGAUCUUAAAAGUGCGGGGCUCAACCCCGUGAUGGGGUCCGAACUGGUUUUCUUGAGUGCAGGAGAGGAAAGCGGAAUUCCCAGUGUAGCGGUGAAAUGCGUAGAUAUUGGGAAGAACACCAGUGGCGAAGGCGGCUUUCUGGACUGUAACUGACGCUGAGGCUCGAAAGCUAGGGUAGCGAACGGGAUUAGAUACCCCGGUAGUCCUAGCCGUAAACGAUGGAUACUAGGUGUGGGAGGUAUCGACCCCUUCCGUGCCGGAGUUAACGCAAUAAGUAUCCCGCCUGGGGAGUACGGCCGCAAGGUUGAA
Molecule: ribosomal RNA, 920 nt
Filed under: uncultured bacterium
Lineage: Bacteria
Description: bacterial SSU rRNA
Rfam family: Bacterial small subunit ribosomal RNA
Source: RNAcentral